RNAcentral lists this long non-coding RNA (1034 nucleotides) under Lupinus mutabilis. RNAcentral describes it as "partial ncRNA". The record is from RNAcentral. Lineage: Eukaryota; Viridiplantae; Streptophyta; Magnoliopsida; Fabales; Fabaceae.
UGAAUCUAAAGAAAAUAGAGUCGUUGCAUUUUUUCCCCAUUUUUAUUGUUGGUGAAUAUGUUUUCCUCUUUCUCUCUAUUUUUUCAUUAUUAUAAGGGUUUUGUGGAAAUAAGAAUCGUGCUCUAAUUAGUGAAUGGUUCUCUAUUUACUGACAAAAGCAUAUCAGUCCCAACGGAUCCGUUUUUUGUUAAGGACAACUACUAGAGAUACUCUUAGAGUAUAUGCUCCUUAACCACUCUGAACCAAUAUAUCAUGUAUGGAUUGCGAAGCUCAUGUAAAAAUGCAUAGUCUGCUCCUUAGCCUGUGUUCUUCUAUAAAGUUGAUGUGCUCCUUGCUCUUUGUUUUCUGCUUUUCUUAUCAAAUUUCUAUGCCUAUUCCAUUAAUGCUGAUUGAUAUAUUUUUAUCAUACCCUGCAGUUUUUGGAUGGUUGGGUCAUAUUUGCGGAGUAUGCAAGACCAAGACCACCACCAGGACAACCUAUACAGAAUCCAACUCCUUAUUAUGGUGGGCAGUGAUUCCUGUUAUUUAUCUGAAACUUUCUUGUGCCUUGUUUUACUGUUUUUGUGUUCAAGUUGCAAUUGCAAAUCACAAAGUAUUAUUUAUUACGGAAUUUGUUCUCAGGUGGUCUUCAAUUUACCUUUAAAUUGUAGUAGCAGGUUGAUCUUCUAUGUAUGGAUGUAAUGCAAGGAUUCUCUUUUGAACCACAUGACAAUGAACUGAUUAUGCAAAUAAUCUUAUUACAUAGAAAUUAAGAAUGUGAUAAGUUUGUCAGUGCAAAAGUGUGAGUGAAUUUGCAUAACUUAUAGAAGAGGGAAAGCACCUGUUUAAACUUUACAGUACAACAUUUUUAGAUCAAAAGUACACAUAAUUUAACAUUUUAUAAAAGAAUUGGUAUACUGCAUCAGUAGUACAUGAGAAUCAUUUUGGCACCGAUAAUUAACAUAAACCUCAGUGGGGAACAUGUUUGAAUAUCCCAGAGUAACAUCAUGGCAUUCCUACUGCUACAUUUCUUCUUUCUAUGUUUCAUGACUUUC